Molecule: ribosomal RNA, 1017 nt
Filed under: uncultured organism
Description: bacterial SSU rRNA
Rfam family: Bacterial small subunit ribosomal RNA
Source: RNAcentral
UGAGGAAUAUUGGUCAAUGGACGAGAGUCUGAACCAGCCAAGUAGCGUGAAGGAUGACUGCCCUAUGGGUUGUAAACUUCUUUUAUACGGGAAUAAAGUUAGCCACGUGUGGCUUUUUGUAUGUACCGUAUGAAUAAGGAUCGGCUAACUCCGUGCCAGCAGCCGCGGUAAUACGGAGGAUCCGAGCGUUAUCCGGAUUUAUUGGGUUUAAAGGGAGCGUAGGCGGGUUGUUAAGUCAGUUGUGAAAGUUUGCGGCUCAACCGUAAAAUUGCAGUUGAUACUGGGUGUCUUGAGUACAGUAGAGGCAGGCGGAAUUCGUGGUGUAGCGGUGAAAUGCUUAGAUAUCACGAAGAACUCCGAUUGCGAAGGCAGCCUGCUGGACUGUAACUGACGCUGAUGCUCGAAAGUGUGGGUAUCAAACAGGAUUAGAUACCCUGGUAGUCCACACAGUAAACGAUGAAUACUCGCUGUUUGCGAUAUACAGUAAGCGGCCAAGCGAAAGCGUUAAGUAUUCCACCUGGGGAGUACGCCGGCAACGGUGAAACUCAAAGGAAUUGACGGGGGCCCGCACAAGCGGAGGAACAUGUGGUUUAAUUCGAUGAUACGCGAGGAACCUUACCCGGGCUUGAAUUGCAACUGAAUGAUGUGGAGACAUGUCAGCCGCAAGGCAGUUGUGAAGGUGCUGCAUGGUUGUCGUCAGCUCGUGCCGUGAGGUGUCGGCUUAAGUGCCAUAACGAGCGCAACCCUUAUCGAUAGUUACCAUCAGGUUAUGCUGGGGACUCUGUCGAGACUGCCGUCGUAAGAUGUGAGGAAGGUGGGGAUGACGUCAAAUCAGCACGGCCCUUACGUCCGGGGCUACACACGUGUUACAAUGGGGGGUACAGAAGGCAGCUACACGGCGACGUGAUGCUAAUCCCGAAAGCCUCUCUCAGUUCGGAUUGGAGUCUGCAACCCGACUCCAUGAAGCUGGAUUCGCUAGUAAUCGCGCAUCAGCCACGGCGCGGUGAAUACGUUCCC